AUACGGAGGGUGCAAGCGUUACUCGGAAUUACUGGGCGUAAAGCGUACGUAGGCGGUUAGUUAAGUUAGAUGUGAAAGCCCCGGGCUUAACCUGGGAACUGCAUUUAAAACUGGCUAACUAGAGUUAAGUAGAGGGGAGUGGAAUUUCAGGUGUAGCGGUGAAAUGCGUAGAGAUCUGAAGGAACACCAGUGGCGAAGGCGACUCCCUGGACUUGAACUGACGCUGAGGUACGAAAGCGUGGGUAGCAAACGGGAUUAGAUACCCUUGUAGUCC
RNAcentral lists this ribosomal RNA (274 nucleotides) under uncultured bacterium. RNAcentral describes it as "partial 16S ribosomal RNA". It matches the Rfam family "Bacterial small subunit ribosomal RNA", at positions 523 to 796 of the family's 1533-position model. The record is from RNAcentral.